UAUGAUGGUUCAAAUGACCUACAGCUGCU
RNAcentral lists this non-coding RNA (29 nucleotides) under Mus musculus (house mouse). The record is from RNAcentral. Lineage: Eukaryota; Metazoa; Chordata; Mammalia; Rodentia; Muridae.